RNAcentral lists this ribosomal RNA (427 nucleotides) under uncultured bacterium. RNAcentral describes it as "partial 16S ribosomal RNA". It matches the Rfam family "Bacterial small subunit ribosomal RNA", at positions 355 to 774 of the family's 1533-position model. The record is from RNAcentral.
UGGGGAAUAUUGCACAAUGGGCGCAAGCCUGAUGCAGCCAUGCCGCGUGUAUGAAGAAGGCCUUCGGGUUGUAAAGUACUUUCAGCGAGGAGGAAGGUGUUGUGGUUAAUAAUCGCAGCAAUUGACGUUACUCGCAGAAGAAGCACCGGCUAACUCCGUGCCAGCAGCCGCGGUAAUACGGAGGGUGCAAGCGUUAAUCGGAAUUACUGGGCGUAAAGCGCACGCAGGCGGUCUGUCAACUCGGAUGUGAAAUCCCCGGGCUCAACCUGGGAACUGCAUCCGAAACUGGCAGGCUAGAGUCUUGUAGAGGGGGGUAGAAUUCCAGGUGUAGCGGUGAAAUGCGUAGAGAUCUGGAGGAAUACCGGUGGCGAAGGCGGCCCCCUGGACAAAGACUGACGCUCAGGUGCGAAAGCGUGGGGAGCAAACA